RNAcentral lists this ribosomal RNA (2835 nucleotides) under Planctomycetota bacterium. RNAcentral's name for it is "23S ribosomal RNA". It matches the Rfam family "Bacterial large subunit ribosomal RNA". Lineage: Bacteria; Pseudomonadati; Planctomycetota. The record is from RNAcentral.
GACCAAGUCGAUAAGGGCAUACGGUGGAUGUCUUGGCGUUGAGAGGCGAUGAAGGACGUGGGAACCUGCGAUAAGCCCAAAGGAGCCGGUAACCAGGCUGUGAUUUUGGGAUUUCCGAAUGGGGCAACCCGGCCCGUUUUUACGGGUCACCUGCACCUGAAUGCAUAGGGUGCAGGAGCGAACCUGGAGAACUGAAACAUCUCAGUACCCAGAGGAAAAGAAAGCAAACGCGAUUCCGUCAGUAGCGGCGAGCGAAAUCGGAACAGCCCAAACCGGGCUUCGGCCCGGGGAGACAGACGCGAAGUGAAUCGAUAUUGAAUGUUCUGGAAAGUUCAUCCAAAGAAGGUGAGAGACCUGUAAAUAUCGUGAAGCGGAGCAGUCUCAACGAGUAUCGUCGAGCCCGUGGAACUCGGCGUGAAUAUGCGGGGUCCACCCCGUAAGGCUAAAUACUACUCAACGACCGAUAGUGAACCAGUAAGGUGACUGAACGAUGAAAAGAACCCCGAUAAGGGGAGUGAAAAGUACCUGAAACCGUAUGCUUACAAGCUGUGGGAGCCUUGAUUCGUUUCGGCGAAUCCGGGUGACCGCGUGCCUUUUGCAUAAUGAGCCGACGAGUUACUCUCUGUGGCAAGGUUAAGCUGUAUCCCAGCGUAGCCGAAGGGAAACCGAGUCUUAAACGGGCGCCGAGUCGCAGGGAGUAGACGCGAAACCGAGUGAUCUACCCAUGGGCAGGUUGAAGGUGGGGUAAUAGCCGCUGGAGGACCGAACGCACCUACGUUGAAAAGUGGGGCGAUGACCUGUGGGGAGGAGUAAAAGUCUAAUCAUACUCGGAGAUAUCUCGUUCUCCUCGAAAUAGCUUUAGGGCUAGCCUCUCGUGAUACCCGUUGGGGGUAGAGCGACUGAAUGGGGCUGGGGGGCCACAAGCCUACCCACUCCAAUCAAACUCCGAAUACCAACGGGCUCUAUCGAGGGAGUCAGUCCGCGGGAGAUAAUUUCCGCGGUCAAAAGGGAAACAGCCCAGACCGCCAGUUAAGGUCCCUAAUCAAAUCUAAGUUUCUAAGGUAGUUGGAUUGCCGUGACAGCCAGGAUGUUGGCUUAGAAGCAGCCACCAUUUAAAGAGUGCGUAACAGCUCACUGGUCGAGGAAUCCAGCGCCGAUAAUGAUCGGGAAUAAGGUUUGAACCGAAACUGCGGACUCCGACUUGUCGGAGUGGUAGAGGAGCGUUCCUGUCAGCAUUGAAGGGGAUCCGCGAGGAUCCUUGGAGCGUCAGGAAGUGAAUAUGUCGGCUUGAGUAACGAUAAAUGGAGUGAGAAUCUCCAUCGCCGAAAGCCUAAGGUUUCCUGGGGAAGGUAAAUCCGCCCAGGGUUAGGCGGGACCUAAGGCGAGGCCGAAAGGCGUAGUCGAUGGACAGCAGGUUAAUAUUCCUGCCCUCCCAUGUGCGGUUGAUCCGGCGUGACGGAUCGUGAAGUUUGACGGGACAGUGAAGCGUCCAGGCCCUCGGGCCGAUGUCGGGUGGAUCGAUUCCUUGAAAAACCGUCCGGUGACAAGCAUGGGACCCGUACUAAAACUGACACAGGUAGGCGUGGCGAAAAGCCUCAGGCGCUCGAGAAAAUGGUUGUGAAGGAACUAGGCAAAUUGACCCCGUACCCUCGGAAUAAGGGGGCCCUACUGGCAACAGAGGGCGCAGAGAAAAGGCUCUGGCGACUGUUUAUCAAAAACACAGCACUGUGCCAACUCGCAAGAGGACGUAUACAGUGUGACGCCUGCUCGGUGCCGGAAUGUUAAGGAAGCAGGUUAGCUUACGCGAAGCUUGCGACUAAAGCACCGGUAAACAGCGGCCGUAACUAUGACGGUCCUAAGGUAGCGAAGUUCCUUGUCGGGUAAGUUCCGACGUGCAUGAAUGGCGUAACGACUGGAGCACUGUCUCCACAACCAACUCGGUGAAAUAGUAGUGGCGGUGAAGAUGCCGCCUACCCGCAGCAAGACGGAAAGACCCCGUGGACCUUUACUGCAGGCUUAUACUGGUCAUGGACCUGGACUGCGUAGGAUAGGUGGGAGGCUUUGAAACUCGGAUUUCGGUCCGGGUGGAGCCAACCUUGAAAUACCACCCUGUGCUCGUUUGUGGCCUAACUCCGAUUCCCAUGAAGCUGGGCGGAGGACCGUGUAUGCUGGGCGGUUUGACUGGGGCGGUCUCCUCCCAAAAAGUAACGGAGGAGCGCAAUGGUCGGUUCAGCAUGGUUGGAAACCAUGUAUCGAAUGUAAGAGUACAAGCCGGCUUUACUGUGAGACAUACAAGUCGAGCAGUUACGAAAGUAGGCUCUAGUGAUCCUGCGAUCCCGUGUGGAAGGGUCGUAGCUCAACGGAUAAAAGGUACCCCGGGGAUAACAGGCUUAUCGCUCCCGAGCGUCCAUAGCGGCGGAGCGGUUUGGCACCUCGAUGUCGGCUCAUCACAUCCUGGGGCUGAAGGCGGUCCCAAGGGUUGGGCUGUUCGCCCAUUAAAGUGGUACGCGAGCUGGGUUCAGACCGGCGCGAGCCAGGUCGGUCCCUAUCUGCUGUGGGCGCUGCAACAUUGACAGGAUUUCUCCCUAGUACGAGAGGAUUGGGAGGGACUCACCCCUGGUGUGCCAGUUGGACCGCUCGGUCCAUCGCUGGGUAGCUAAGUGAGGCAGGGAUAACCGCUGAAAGCAUCUAAACGGGAAGCCCCCCUGGAGAUGAGUGUUGCAUGUUCCUUCUAGGAACGAGAGACCCCCGGAAGACCACCGGGUUGAUCGGCCGCACGUGUAAGUGCAGAAAUGCAUUCAGCGAAGCGGUACGAACGGUCGACGACUUUGUCAU